CCUGCCCAAAAUCCUCUUUGUGACACUUGGGGUGGGGACAGUUCCCAUUUUCCCUCCCCAAAUCCCCAUUUUCCCACCCCAAAUCCCCAUUUUCCCCUCGGGAAGGUGCUCAGCACCCUCGCGACUCAUCCUGCACCCUCGGGAUGGUGCUCAGCACCCUCGGGACGGUGCUCAGCACCCUUGGGACGCAUCCUGCACCCUCGGGAUGGUGCUCAGGACCCACAGGGAGACCUAGAACCUCAGCACCGCUCAGCACCAGUCAGGAUAGUGUGGAACCUCAUGGGAUGGAUCCAGAACCUUCUGGAAGGCACACAGCACCCUCGGGACGAAUCCAGAACCUUCUGGAAGGCGCUCAGCACCUUCUGGAAGGCUCUCAGCACCCUCGGGACCCAUCCAACACCUUCUGGAAGGUGCUCAGCACCCUCGGGACUCAUCCUGCACCCUUGGGAUGGUGCUCAGCACCCUUGGGAUGGUGCUCAGCACCCUCGGGACUCAUCCUGCACCCUCGGGAUGGUGCUCAGAACACUCGAGACUCAUCCUGCACCUUCGGGACUUAUCCUGCAUAUUUGGGAUGGUGCUGAGCAUCCUCGGGACUCAACCUGCACUGUCAGGACUCAUCCUGCACCCUCGCGACUCAUCCUGCACCCUCGGGACGGUGCUCAGCACCCUCGGGACGGUGCUCAGCACCUUAGGGAUGGUGCUCAGCACCCUCUGGACUUAUCCUGCACCAUUGGGAUGGUGCUGAGCACCCUCGGGACAGUGCUCAGCACCCUCGGGAUGGUGCUCCUCACCGUUGGGACUCAUCCUGCACCCUCGAAACGGUGCUCAGCACCUUCGGCACUCAUCCUGCACCUUCGGGACUCAUUCUGUGACAGUGACAGUGCCACCCCCUGUCCCCAGGUGACGUUUGACAACCUCGCCCACAGCGGGCGAGUGAGGAUCUGCCUGGACACCCUCGUGGCCAUCUGGGAGUGCCACCACCCCUCGCUGCCUGGCACAGGUGACAGCGGGUGACAAUGGGUGACAAUGGGUGACAGUGGGCUGUGUGGGUGUCCCCUGGGAGUGCCACCACCCUGCCAUGCCUGGCAGAGGUGACACCAUGGUGGCACCUGGCCCCAAAGGUGACCCUGGAUGUCCCCAGGCCUUGGGAAGUGACCCCAGGUGUCCCGGAGGGUGACCCCAGGUGUCCCCAAAGGUGACCCCUAGUGUCCCCAAGGGUGACCCCAGAUGUCCCCAAAGGUGACCCCUAGUGUCCCCGAGGGUGUCCCCAGGCGUCCCUGAGGGUGACCCCGGGUAUCCCUGAGGAUGUCCCCAGGUGUCCCCAAAGGUGUCCCCAGGUAUCCCCAAAGGUGUCCCCAGGUGUCCCUGAGGAUGUCUCCAGGUGUCCCCAAAGGUGACCCCGGGUGUCCCAAAGGUGUCCCCGAGGGUGUCCCCGGGUGUCCCUGAGGGUGACCCCGGCUGUCCCCGAGGUGACCCCGGCUGUCCCCGUCCCCACAGGUGGACGCCUGGCGUUUGACGUGUUGGUGACAGC
RNAcentral lists this long non-coding RNA (1531 nucleotides) under Parus major (Great Tit). RNAcentral describes it as "lncRNA (ENSPMJG00000000217.1)". Lineage: Eukaryota; Metazoa; Chordata; Aves; Passeriformes; Paridae. The record is from RNAcentral.